RNAcentral lists this ribosomal RNA (328 nucleotides) under uncultured Bacillota bacterium. RNAcentral describes it as "bacterial SSU rRNA". It matches the Rfam family "Bacterial small subunit ribosomal RNA", at positions 28 to 351 of the family's 1533-position model. The record is from RNAcentral. Lineage: Bacteria; Bacillati; Bacillota.
GACGAACGCUGGCGGCGUGCCUAACACAUGCAAGUCGAACGGGGAAGUUAGCAAUAACUUUCUAGUGGCGAACGGGUGAGUAACGCGUAGACAACCAACCUUCGUGUGGGGGACAACACUUCGAAAGGAGUGCUAAUACCGCAUAAGCUCAUUUGGCCGCAUGGUCGGAUGAGGAAAGGAGCUUCACGGCUUCGCAGGAAGACGGGUCUGCGUCUGAUUAGCUAGUUGGAGGGGUAACGGCCCACCAAGGCGACGAUCAGUAGCCGGUCUGAGAGGAUGGACGGCCACACUGGGACUGAGACACGGCCCAGACUCCUACGGGAGGCAG